This 448-nucleotide ribosomal RNA is filed under the name uncultured bacterium. Its description in RNAcentral is "bacterial SSU rRNA". It matches the Rfam family "Bacterial small subunit ribosomal RNA", at positions 330 to 795 of the family's 1533-position model. The record is from RNAcentral.
UCCAGACUCCUACGGGAGGCAGCAGUGGGGGAUAUUGCACAAUGGGGGGAACCCUGAUGCAGCGACGCCGCGUGGGCGAUGGAGCGCCUCGGCGCGUAAAGCCCUAUCAGCAGGGAAGAAGAUGACGGUACCUGACUAAGAAGCCCCGGCUAAAUACGUGCCAGCAGCCGCGGUAAUACGUAGGGGGCAAGCGUUAUCCGGAUUUACUGGGUGUAAAGGGAGCGUAGACGGCAGUGCAAGUCUGGAGUGAAAGGCGGGGGCUCAACCCCCGGACUGCUCUGGAAACUGUACGGCUGGAGUGCAGGAGAGGUAAGUGGAAUUCCUAGUGUAGCGGUGAAAUGCGUAGAUAUUAGGAGGAACACCAGUGGCGAAGGCGGCGUACUGGACUGUAACUGACGUUGAGGCUCGAAAGCGUGGGGAGCAAACAGGAUUAGAUACCCUAGUAGUG